UGUGUUGGCAUUGUCCAGACCAUCUGAUCUUGGUUCCACGUUUAAAUCAGGGCCCUUGAUUUUGAAUAUCAUGCGUGUACACGCAUUGACUGAAGCGUUUGGUGGAAGCAUGCGCUUGGCCAUCAGAUUUGCCCCCUCAAUUAAUGAGGGAGAUCUGAUGGCCCUUGUUUUUUUUUUAAUUUCUUAUUUAUUUCUAAUUUUUCAUUUAAUUUCUUUAUUUUGUUUAAUUCAUA
Molecule: long non-coding RNA, 233 nt
Filed under: Lathyrus oleraceus (garden pea)
Lineage: Eukaryota; Viridiplantae; Streptophyta; Magnoliopsida; Fabales; Fabaceae
Description: Pisum sativum (pea) long non-coding RNA (PSAT_LNC010717)
Source: RNAcentral